RNAcentral lists this ribosomal RNA (485 nucleotides) under uncultured bacterium. RNAcentral describes it as "partial 16S ribosomal RNA". It matches the Rfam family "Bacterial small subunit ribosomal RNA", at positions 28 to 523 of the family's 1533-position model. The record is from RNAcentral.
GAUGAACGCUAGCGGCAGGCCUAAUACAUGCAAGUCGAACGGUGUAGCAAUACACAGUGGCGCACGGGUGCGUAACACGUAUGCAACCUACCUAUUAUUGGGGGAUAGCCUUUGGAAACGGAGAUUAAUACCGCAUAAGACAGUGACAUGGCAUCAUGUAGCUGUUAAAGCUUUGGCGAUAAUAGAUGGGCAUGCGUCCAAUUAGUUAGUUGGUGAGGUAAUGGCUCACCAAGACGAUGAUUGGUAGGGGAUCUGAGAGGAUAAUCCCCCACACUGGCACUGAGAUACGGGCCAGACUCCUACGGGAGGCAGCAGUAGGGAAUAUUGGGCAAUGGACGGAAGUCUGACCCAGCCAUGCCGCGUGCAGGAUGACGGCGUUAUGCGUUGUAAACUGCUUUUUUAUAGGAAGAAGAAGCCCUUGCGAGGGAAAGUGACGGUACUAUAAGAAUAAGCACCGGCUAACUCCGUGCCAGCCGCCGCCGUAA